This 56-nucleotide transfer RNA is filed under the name Trichuris trichiura (human whipworm). RNAcentral describes it as "tRNA-Gln". The record is from RNAcentral. Lineage: Eukaryota; Metazoa; Nematoda; Enoplea; Trichinellida; Trichuridae.
UAUGUUYUAGUAUAACAAGAGUACUUAGAUGUUUGAGAUCUAGAGUUCAAACAUAA